ACGAUGAAGCCCAGCUUGCUGGGUGGAUUAGUGGCGAACGGGUGAGUAACACGUGAGUAACCUGCCCUUGACUCUGGGAUAAGCCUGGGAAACUGGGUCUAAUACCGGAUAGGAACGUCCACCGCAUGGUGGUUGUUGGAAAGAUUUAUCGGUCAUGGAUGGACUCGCGGCCUAUCAGCUUGUUGGUGAGGUAAUGGCUCACCAAGGCGACGACGGGUAGCCGGCCUGAGAGGGUGACCGGCCACACUGGGACUGAGACACGGCCCAGACUCCUACGGGAGGCAGCAGUGGGGAAUAUUGCACAAUGGGCGAAAGCCUGAUGCAGCGACGCCGCGUGAGGGAUGACGGCCUUCGGGUUGUAAACCUCUUUCAGUAGGGAAGAAGCGAAAGUGACGGUACCUGCAGAAGAAGCACCGGCUAACUACGUGCCAGCAGCCGCGGUAAUACGUAGGGUGCGAGCGUUAUCCGGAAUUAUUGGGCGUAAAGAGCUCGUAGGCGGUUUGUCGCGUCUGUCGUGAAAGUCCGGGGCUUAACCCCGGAUCUGCGGUGGGUACGGGCAGACUAGAGUGCAGUAGGGGAGACUGGAAUUCCUGGUGUAGCGGUGGAAUGCGCAGAUAUCAGGAGGAACACCGAUGGCGAAGGCAGGUCUCUGGGCUGUAACUGACGCUGAGGAGCGAAAGCAUGGGGAGCGAACAGGAUUAGAUACCCUGGUAGUCCAUGCCGUAAACGUUGGGCACUAGGUGUGGGGACCAUUCCACGGUUUCCGCGCCGCAGCUAACGCAUUAAGUGCCCCGCCUG
RNAcentral lists this ribosomal RNA (798 nucleotides) under Micrococcus sp. Bc7. Its description in RNAcentral is "bacterial SSU rRNA". It matches the Rfam family "Bacterial small subunit ribosomal RNA", at positions 66 to 875 of the family's 1533-position model. The record is from RNAcentral. Lineage: Bacteria; Bacillati; Actinomycetota; Actinomycetes; Micrococcales; Micrococcaceae.